UGAGGAAUAUUGCACAAUGGGGGAAACCCUGAUGCAGCAACGCCGCGUGGAGGAUGACGCAUUUCGGUGUGUAAACUCCUUUUAUAAGGGAAGAAAAUGACGGUACCUUAUGAAUAAGCACCGGCUAACUCCGUGCCAGCAGCCGCGGUAAUACGGAGGGUGCAAGCGUUACUCGGAAUCACUGGGCGUAAAGGACGCGUAGGCGGGUUGGUAAGUCAGAUGUGAAAUCCUACAGCUUAACUGUAGAACUGCAUUUGAAACUACCGACCUAGAGUAUGGGAGGGGGAGAUGGAAUUAGUGGUGUAGGGGUAAAAUCCGUAGAUAUCACUAGGAAUACCGAAAGCGAAGGCGAUCUCCUGGAACAUUACUGACGCUAAGGCGUGAAAGCGUGGGGAGCAAA
RNAcentral lists this ribosomal RNA (400 nucleotides) under uncultured bacterium. Its description in RNAcentral is "bacterial SSU rRNA". It matches the Rfam family "Bacterial small subunit ribosomal RNA", at positions 355 to 772 of the family's 1533-position model. The record is from RNAcentral.